Amyelois transitella is the source of this 733-nucleotide long non-coding RNA. RefSeq lists it as uncharacterized. Lineage: Eukaryota; Metazoa; Arthropoda; Insecta; Lepidoptera; Pyralidae. The record is from RefSeq and is a predicted model, not a curated record. The transcript is spliced from 2 exons.
GUGACGACCCCAUCGCCCCCUGGGUCACCUUCCCAGUGCAAUCAGUCUCCGCAGGGCAGCUUGUGGCGAGCUGUUGGGGAGUAGCGACCCCACGGACCUGAGUGCUCCCAGGGGAGGCCCCUGUUCCUCGCCUCCGAUCUUCCUUCGCCAAGGUCGGAGUGGAAACCGAUGAGGGACAGGACCCCUACCUCUGGCUUGCCUUAACCGGCCGGUCAGAGUGGAGUCGCGAGAGCUAUACGCUCGAAGGAUGGAAGUGUAAAAUGUCAUAACGCCGGGGGUGCCUGACUGGAUCACCACGAUUUCACGCCCCGCAGUCUCACCUCUCGACAUCCUUAGCCACCCACGCCGAUGUUGCCCCUUUGUUGCCUAUCAUGGUGACUGAUUUGAGGGGCCCAUUUAGUGAGUGGCGAGUCACCACCUGCCACAUAAUAGUCACGUAUUCAUGAUUAUGGCAGGUGUCCGAACUUCUCCAACAAUAGCCCAGUUUAAAUCCAUCCAAACGUCAACUCCAUAACCCAUAAUCCUUUUCCUUAUUUUGUAAUAGCUCCACCUCCUGCCGAGACCUGUUCAUGGACAUAUCAUCUAUUGAUAUGCCCGGGAACGGGUUUUGGCAGGAGAACAACAUAACAUCAACUUCUCCAAAGGGCCUCUACGUGUUGGAUUUAUAUCCCCACGCAAGCCUCUCAAAAAUCCGGGGUGUAUAGACCCGUGAAAUCUAAGAGGAGAAACAUAA